Molecule: ribosomal RNA, 229 nt
Filed under: uncultured bacterium
Lineage: Bacteria
Description: partial 16S ribosomal RNA
Rfam family: Bacterial small subunit ribosomal RNA
Source: RNAcentral
AAUCAACGCUGGCGGCGUGCCUAACACAUGCAAGUCGCGCGCGAAAGGGGGCAACUCCCGAGUAAAGCGGCGAACGGGUGAGUAACACGUGGGUAAUCUACCUUCGAGUGGGGAACAACACCGGGAAACUGGUGCUAAUUCCGCAUGACAUCGUCGGGGCUUCGGUUCUGACGCUCAAAGCUGGGGAUCGCAAGACCUAGCGCUUGAAGAUGAGCCCGCGUCCGAUUAG